GUUGAACGCUGGCGGCAGGCUUAACACGUGCAAGUCGAGCGGAGACUUCGGUCUUAGCGGCGAACGGGUGAGUAAUACCUAGGAAUCUGCCUAUUAGUGGGGGAUAACGAAUCGAAAGGUUCGCUAAUACCGCAUACGUCCUACGGGAGAAAGGGGGGAGUCUUCGGACCUCUCGCUAAUAGAUGAGCCUAGGCCGGAUUAGCUAGUUGGUAGGGUAAAGGCCUACCAAGGCGACGAUCUGUAGCUGGUCUGAGAGGAUGGCCAGCCACACUGGAACUGAGACACGGUCCAGACUCCUACGGGAGGCAGCAGUGGGGAAUAUUGGACAAUGGGGGCGAACCCUGAUCCAGCCAUGCCGCGUGUGUGAAGAAGGCCUCGGUUGUAAGUA
Molecule: ribosomal RNA, 388 nt
Filed under: uncultured bacterium
Lineage: Bacteria
Description: bacterial SSU rRNA
Rfam family: Bacterial small subunit ribosomal RNA
Source: RNAcentral